ACGGAGGGAGCUAGCGUUGUUCGGAAUUACUGGGCGUAAAGCGUACGUAGGCGGUUAUUCAAGUCAGAGGUGAAAGCCCGGGGCUCAACCCCGGAACUGCCUUUGAAACUAGAUAGCUAGAAUCUUGGAGAGGUCAGUGGAAUUCCGAGUGUAGAGGUGAAAUUCGUAGAUAUUCGGAAGAACACCAGUGGCGAAGGCGACUGACUGGACAAGUAUUGACGCUGAGGUACGAAAGCGUGGGGAGCAAACAGGAUUAGAUACCCUGGUAGUCCACGCCGUAAACGAUGAUAACUAGUUGUUCGGGCACUUGGUGCCUGAGUGACGCAGCUAACGCAUUAAGUUAUCCGCCUGGGGAGUACGGUCGCAAGAUUA
Molecule: ribosomal RNA, 372 nt
Filed under: uncultured bacterium
Lineage: Bacteria
Description: bacterial SSU rRNA
Rfam family: Bacterial small subunit ribosomal RNA
Source: RNAcentral